RNAcentral lists this ribosomal RNA (1400 nucleotides) under Enterococcus durans. Its description in RNAcentral is "bacterial SSU rRNA". It matches the Rfam family "Bacterial small subunit ribosomal RNA", at positions 63 to 1436 of the family's 1533-position model. Lineage: Bacteria; Bacillati; Bacillota; Bacilli; Lactobacillales; Enterococcaceae. The record is from RNAcentral.
CGUACGCUUCUUUUUCACCGGAGCUUGCUCCACCGGAAAAAGAAGAGUGGCGAACGGGUGAGUAACACGUGGGUAACCUGCCCAUCAGAAGGGGAUAACACUUGGAAACAGGUGCUAAUACCGUAUAACAAUCGAAACCGCAUGGUUUUGAUUUGAAAGGCGCUUUCGGGUGUCGCUGAUGGAUGGACCCGCGGUGCAUUAGCUAGUUGGUGAGGUAACGGCUCACCAAGGCCACGAUGCAUAGCCGACCUGAGAGGGUGAUCGGCCACAUUGGGACUGAGACACGGCCCAAACUCCUACGGGAGGCAGCAGUAGGGAAUCUUCGGCAAUGGACGAAAGUCUGACCGAGCAACGCCGCGUGAGUGAAGAAGGUUUUCGGAUCGUAAAACUCUGUUGUUAGAGAAGAACAAGGAUGAGAGUAACUGUUCAUCCCUUGACGGUAUCUAACCAGAAAGCCACGGCUAACUACGUGCCAGCAGCCGCGGUAAUACGUAGGUGGCAAGCGUUGUCCGGAUUUAUUGGGCGUAAAGCGAGCGCAGGCGGUUUCUUAAGUCUGAUGUGAAAGCCCCCGGCUCAACCGGGGAGGGUCAUUGGAAACUGGGAGACUUGAGUGCAGAAGAGGAGAGUGGAAUUCCAUGUGUAGCGGUGAAAUGCGUAGAUAUAUGGAGGAACACCAGUGGCGAAGGCGGCUCUCUGGUCUGUAACUGACGCUGAGGCUCGAAAGCGUGGGGAGCAAACAGGAUUAGAUACCCUGGUAGUCCACGCCGUAAACGAUGAGUGCUAAGUGUUGGAGGGUUUCCGCCCUUCAGUGCUGCAGCUAACGCAUUAAGCACUCCGCCUGGGGAGUACGACCGCAAGGUUGAAACUCAAAGGAAUUGACGGGGGCCCGCACAAGCGGUGGAGCAUGUGGUUUAAUUCGAAGCAACGCGAAGAACCUUACCAGGUCUUGACAUCCUUUGACCACUCUAGAGAUAGAGCUUCCCCUUCGGGGGCAAAGUGACAGGUGGUGCAUGGUUGUCGUCAGCUCGUGUCGUGAGAUGUUGGGUUAAGUCCCGCAACGAGCGCAACCCUUAUUGUUAGUUGCCAUCAUUCAGUUGGGCACUCUAGCAAGACUGCCGGUGACAAACCGGAGGAAGGUGGGGAUGACGUCAAAUCAUCAUGCCCCUUAUGACCUGGGCUACACACGUGCUACAAUGGGAAGUACAACGAGUCGCGAAGUCGCGAGGCUAAGCUAAUCUCUUAAAGCUUCUCUCAGUUCGGAUUGUAGGCUGCAACUCGCCUACAUGAAGCCGGAAUCGCUAGUAAUCGCGGAUCAGCACGCCGCGGUGAAUACGUUCCCGGGCCUUGUACACACCGCCCGUCACACCACGAGAGUUUGUAACACCCGAAGUCGGUGAGGU